This 377-nucleotide long non-coding RNA is filed under the name Pan troglodytes (chimpanzee). Its description in RNAcentral is "long non-coding RNA NONPTRT012989". Lineage: Eukaryota; Metazoa; Chordata; Mammalia; Primates; Hominidae. The record is from RNAcentral.
UGUCAUUCUUCAGUGGGUGACCUUCCUUCUGAGGGACAUUGCCCUGAAACAUUCCUGGCAUCCCCUAACAUCUUGGAGAACUUGACAACUUUAGAAGUAGUUACUUGGAGUGCCAGUCAUAAUUUAUUUGGCUGGAAAUUCUGAUGUCAGACAAGAUUAGGUACAAGAGGGAAAAAAUUAUCUGCCUUUACAGUUUGCAUUUUGGUGAAUUAGCUAAAGAGCAAGAAUGUCGACAAAUGAUGUGACUUACCUAUCUUUAUACCUAUGUCAUAUUAGAGAAAAUGUAGACUACUAAUGUGUGAUUUAUAUAAAUAAAUUUUUAGGAAUAUUUUACCUUGAAUUGUCCUUGAUUUCAGUUUGUUCACAGUGCACAACAU